AUGGAAAGUUGCAUAGCAUGGAUCUGUGUGAUGGAAGGAGCAAAAGCUUUGUUAGCUAAAAAUAGAAAUUAAAUUAAGUGAGAUAUCAUGUACUGCACUGCAAAGGAAGAAAAACUGCAAGAAAAUAUCCAACAGUAAAGAACUCCCUAAAUGAAUGUAUCAUAGUUUAAAGAAAACAUCGGUGAAAUUGCACUGCUACAAGCAGAACUCUCCCCAAGAUAAAUGCAAUCAGAACAUCAACAAUCAUCCAGCUAAAUCAGAUUUCCAAAUGAUUUUUGAUUCAGAAUAUUCUUUCUACGCCUACAGGUACAUAUAGACCUUGCCCCACCCAACUAUACUCUAUGCAUAUAGACGAUGGUUUCACACAAACACUGUUGUCGAGGGUGGACAUGAUGUCAUCAAGACGUGAACAUCCUGCCAUAUUUUCGAAGUUCUGAUAUAAUAUUCACUUUUGUAAGUUUAUCCAAAAUGUAUUAAUCACAGACAUUCCAAGGGAUUUUUGAUUCAGAACAUUCUUUCUAUGCCUGCAGGUGCAUAUAGACCUUGCCUCUGGAGCAUGACUAGAGAUAUGGAUGGAGAUGAAUGCUCCAAAAGCAUGUGAAUGAGCAUCUCUAGCUUUAAAAUUAAUCAUGUCAAGAAGUAGGCAUAAACCAACUAUACUCUAGGCAAAGACAAUGGUUUCACACAAACACAGUUGUCAAGGGUGGACAUGAUAUCCUCAAGACAUGAACAUCCUACCAUAUUUUUGAAAUUCUGAUAUAAUAUUCACUUUUGUAAGUUUAUCCAAAAUGUAUUAAUCACAGA
This 804-nucleotide unclassified non-coding RNA is filed under the name Hevea brasiliensis (rubber tree). The record is from RNAcentral. Lineage: Eukaryota; Viridiplantae; Streptophyta; Magnoliopsida; Malpighiales; Euphorbiaceae.